This 426-nucleotide ribosomal RNA is filed under the name uncultured bacterium. RNAcentral's name for it is "bacterial SSU rRNA". It matches the Rfam family "Bacterial small subunit ribosomal RNA", at positions 355 to 773 of the family's 1533-position model. The record is from RNAcentral.
UGGGGAAUAUUGGACAAUGGGCGAAAGCCUGAUCCAGCCAUGCCGCGUGUGUGAAGAAGGUCUUCGGAUUGUAAAGCACUUUAAGUUGGGAGGAAGGGCAUUAACUUAAUACGUUGGUGUCUUGACGUUACCGACAGAAUAAGCACCGGCUAACUCUGUGCCAGCAGCCGCGGUAAUACAGAGGGUGCAAGCGUUAAUCGGAAUUACUGGGCGUAAAGCGCACGCAGGCGGUCUGUUAAGUUGGAUGUGAAAUCCCCGGGCUAAACCUGGGAACUGCAUUCAAAACUGACGAGCUAGAGUAUGGUAGAGGGUGGUGGAAUUUCCUGUGUAGCGGUGAAAUGCGUAGAUAUAAAGAGGAACACCAAUGGCGAAGGCGACCACCUAGACUGAUACUGACACUGAGGUGCGAAAGCGUGGGGAGCAAAC